AGAGUUUGAUCAUGGCUCAGGACGAACGCUGGCGGCGUGCUUAACACAUGCAAGUCGAACGGAAAGGCCCUUCGGGGUGCUCGAGUGGCGAACGGGUGAGUAACACGUGGGUGAUCUGCCCUGCACUUUGGGAUAAGCCUGGGAAACUGGGUCUAAUACCGAAUAGGACUCCGGACUGCAUGGUCUGGGGUGGAAAGCUUUUGCGGUGUGGGAUGGGCCCGCGGCCUAUCAGCUUGUUGGUGGGGUGAUGGCCUACCAAGGCGACGACGGGUAGCCGGCCUGAGAGGGUGACCGGCCACACUGGGACUGAGAUACGGCCCAGACUCCUACGGGAGGCAGCAGUGGGGAAUAUUGCACAAUGGGCGCAAGCCUGAUGCAGCGACGCCGCGUGAGGGAUGACGGCCUUCGGGUUGUAAACCUCUUUCAGUAGGGACGAAGCGAAAGUGACGGUAUCUACAGAAGAAGGACCGGCCAACUACGUGCCAGCAGCCGCGGUAAUACGUAGGGUCCGAGCGUUGUCCGGAAUUACUGGGCGUAAAGAGCUCGUAGGUGGUUUGUCGCGUUGUUCGUGAAAACUCACAGCUUAACUGUGGGCGUGCGGGCGAUACGGGCAGACUAGAGUACUGCAGGGGAGACUGGAAUUCCUGGUGUAGCGGUGGAAUGCGCAGAUAUCAGGAGGAACACCGGUGGCGAAGGCGGGUCUCUGGGCAGUAACUGACGCUGAGGAGCGAAAGCGUGGGUAGCGAACAGGAUUAGAUACCCCGGUAGUCCAA
Molecule: ribosomal RNA, 773 nt
Filed under: uncultured bacterium
Lineage: Bacteria
Description: bacterial SSU rRNA
Rfam family: Bacterial small subunit ribosomal RNA
Source: RNAcentral